This 177-nucleotide ribosomal RNA is filed under the name Valvata sp. Its description in RNAcentral is "partial 28S ribosomal RNA". It matches the Rfam family "Eukaryotic large subunit ribosomal RNA", at positions 1326 to 1473 of the family's 3401-position model. The record is from RNAcentral. Lineage: Eukaryota; Metazoa; Mollusca; Gastropoda; Valvatidae.
CGCUAGAGCGUCGCACCCAUACCGGGCCGUCGGCGGCAACGCGAGAGGCGUCUAGUCCUCGAGCCGAACCAGGCCCCGACGAGUAGGAGGGUCGCCGGGGAGAGCGUCGAAGUCUUGGAAGCGAUUCCGGAUGGAGCCUCCCCGGGUGCAGAUCUUGGUGGUAGUAGCAAAUAUUCA